UGCCUAAACUCUGAAAAAAUCAGAGCAUGGUAAUAAACCUACAGAAGAAACGAGAGCUCCUCGUCUAUUAACCUUCUGUAGGUCAUAAAUCGAAAGGUUUAUGGAUUUUUUCGAAAGAUUAAAUC
This 125-nucleotide small RNA is filed under the name unclassified sequences. RNAcentral describes it as "LOOT RNA". It matches the Rfam family "LOOT RNA". From Rfam's summary of the family: Latescibacteria, OD1/Parcubacteria, OP11, TM7. Lineage (Microgenomates, aka OP11) The record is from Rfam by way of RNAcentral.